This 465-nucleotide ribosomal RNA is filed under the name uncultured bacterium. Its description in RNAcentral is "bacterial SSU rRNA". It matches the Rfam family "Bacterial small subunit ribosomal RNA", at positions 338 to 795 of the family's 1533-position model. The record is from RNAcentral.
CCUACGGGUUGCAGCAGUGGGGAAUAUUGCACAAUGGGCGCAAGCCUGAUGCAGCCAUGCCGCGUGUAUGAAGAAGACCUUCGGGUUGUAAAGUACUUUCAGCGAGGAGGAAGGCGUUAAGGUUAAUAACCUUAGCGAUUGACGUUACUCGCAGAAGAAGCUCCGGCUAACUCCGUGCCAGCAGCCGCGGUAAUACGGAGGGCGCAAGCGUUAAUCGGAAUUACUGGGCGUAAAGCGCACGCAGGCGGUCUGUUAAGUCAGAUGUGAAAUCCCCGGGCUCAACCUGGGAACUGCAUUUGAAACUGGCAGGCUUGAGUCUUGUAGAGGGGGGUAGAAUUCCAGGUGUAGCGGUGAAAUGCGUAGAGAUCUGGAGGAAUACCGGUGGCGAAGGCGGCCCCCUGGACAAAGACUGACGCUCAGGUGCGAAAGCGUGGGGAGCAAGCAGGAUUAGAUACCCGGGUAGUC